Molecule: RNA transcript, 1277 nt
Organism: Olea europaea var. sylvestris
Lineage: Eukaryota; Viridiplantae; Streptophyta; Magnoliopsida; Lamiales; Oleaceae
Gene name: sufE-like protein 2, chloroplastic
Exons: 4
Source: RefSeq, a predicted model, not a curated record
UCAUUGCCUACAAUUUUUCACCAAUGUUUUCUUCUACUUUUCACCAAUUUUUGCCAUACCCAAACAUGCACUCUUCCACCCUAAAACAACCCUUUAUUUCUUCUUCUUCUCCUCCUUUUUUGAUGAAAAGAGAGAAUUUUUUGAAGCCUAGCCCAUUACAAAUUCAAGAAAAUCCAGGAAAAAGGAACACCAAGAAAAACCCACAAAUUUCUAUGCCUCUAAAUUGUGUUUUUCGUGGCCCUGGUAAAUCAAGAUCAAGAAAACCAAAUCCCAGAAAUAUGGCAGUUUUUCGCUUAACAAUAGGUGAACAGCCAUUACUGCAUACCUUAAGCGUAUCCAAAAAGGUACAAGCUUUGGAUUUGGAGUUCAAAUCUUUAUCUAAGCCCAUUGACAGAGUCAAAAGAUUGUUGCACUAUGCAAAUCAUCUUCCACAAUUCGAUGAAUCUGCGAAAAUUCAAGAAAAUAGAGUCAUGGGCUGCACAGCCCAGGUGUGGCUGGAAGUAGAAAUGGACAAUAAUGGAAUAAUGAAAUUCAGAGUUGAGAGUGAUUCAGAAAUCACAAAAGGGUUCUGUUCUUGUUUGAUUUGGGUACUAGACGGGGCAAAAUUCGAAGAGAUAUUGACUGUAAAGUCAGACGAUUUUGUAGAAAUGAAUGUGGGUUUGCCUAGUCGGGGUCACUCCAGAGUGAAUACUUGGCAUAAUGUGUUGAUUAGUAUGCAAAAGAGAACAAAAGAUUUGGCUGAGCAAAGAAAUGGACGAACUUUUCCUUCUCUAAUUCAUGAUAUCAGUGUCAAUGGAAGUCACAAGGAAACUCAGGUCUUAAUCUUAUCAGCAGUGGAAUCUUAUUACCUUAUUUUUCAUUUACAGACUACAUCUUUAGCUCCCAGAAUUGAUGGUCAAUGAGUGUCAUUCAAAUGAAAUGGAUAAACAUAUUGAACUCCACUUGGAUUUCUUCAGAUUCAGUCAGAAUUUUGUCACACUCAAGGCACAAAUCCUUCAGAACUUGUGGUUUAUAAUAAACCUCAUUACACUUCAGAAUCGCAAUACUGUCAUGCUCCAUGAACACAGAAUUUGUAAUUGUCUGAACCCAACGGGCAAGCUGAUGUUGCAGGAGAAAGCAGUUGUCUGCUAGCCGAAAAACAAUGUACACUAUAGGAUGCAAUGGAUUGGUUAAUAUUUUCAAGUUGUGUAUAGGAUGCAAUGGAUUGGUUAAUAUUUCCAGGUUUAAUGUUGGUGCAUUAGAACCAUAUAAACAAUUUUCAGAACUCUUUUUCUUUC